CCUACGGGAGGCAGCAGUGGGGAAUUUUGGACAAUGGGGGCAACCCUGAUCCAGCAAUGCCGCGUGUGUGAAGAAGGCCUUCGGGUUGUAAAGCACUUUUGUCCGGAAAGAAAUCCCUUGCCCUAAUACGGCGGGGGGAUGACGGUACCGGAAGAAUAAGCACCGGCUAACUACGUGCCAGCAGCCGCGGUAAUACGUAGGGUGCGAGCGUUAAUCGGAAUUACUGGGCGUAAAGCGUGCGCAGGCGGUUUUGUAAGACAGGCGUGAAAUCCCCGAGCUCAACUUGGGAAUGGCGCUUGUGACUGCAAGGCUAGAGUAUGUCAGAGGGGGGUAGAAUUCCACGUGUAGCAGUGAAAUGCGUAGAGAUGUGGAGGAAUACCGAUGGCGAAGGCAGCCCCCUGGGACGUCACUGACGCUCAUGCACGAAAGCGUGGGGAGCAAACAGGAUUAGAUACCCUGGUAGUCCACGCCCUAAACGAUGUCAACUAGUUGUUGGGGAUUCAUUUCUUCAGUAACGUAGCUAACGCGUGAAGUUGACCGCCUGGGGAGUACGGUCGCAAGGUUAAAACCUCAAAAGGAAUUGACGG
RNAcentral lists this ribosomal RNA (587 nucleotides) under uncultured bacterium. Its description in RNAcentral is "bacterial SSU rRNA". It matches the Rfam family "Bacterial small subunit ribosomal RNA", at positions 338 to 916 of the family's 1533-position model. The record is from RNAcentral.